Molecule: ribosomal RNA, 506 nt
Filed under: uncultured bacterium
Lineage: Bacteria
Description: bacterial SSU rRNA
Rfam family: Bacterial small subunit ribosomal RNA
Source: RNAcentral
CUGGCUCAGGAUGAACGCUAGCGGCAGGCUUAACACAUGCAAGUCGAGGGGCAUCGGGUGUAGCAAUACAUGCCGGCGACCGGCGAAAGGGUGAGUAACGCGUGAGCAACGUGCCCGUAUGUGGGGGAUAGUCGAUGGAAACGUCGCGUAAUACCCCGUAACACAUGGAACUGCAUGGUUUCAUGUUGAAAGAUUUAUUGCAUACGGAUCGGCUCGCGUGCCAUUAGGUAGACGGCGGGGUAACGGCCCACCGUGCCGACGAUGGCUAGGGGUUCUGAGAGGAAGGUCCCCCCACAUUGGAACUGAGACACGGUCCAGACUCCUACGGGAGGCAGCAGUGAGGAAUAUUGGACAAUGGCCGGAAGGCUGAUCCAGCCAUGCCGCGUGCGGGAAGAACCGGCCCUAUGGGUUGUAAACCGCUUUUGCGAGGGAGCAAUAAGGGCAACGUGUUGUCCGAUGAGAGUACCUCGCGAAUAAGCAUCGGCUAACUCCGUGCCAGCAGCAGC